GCCAGACUCCUACGGGAGGCAGCAGUGGGGAAUUUUGGACAAUGGGCGCAAGCCUGAUCCAGCUAUUCCGCGUGUGGGAUGACGGCCCUCGGGUUGUAAACCACUUUAGUAGAGAACGAAAAGGAGCUAUCGAAUAAAUAGCUCUGCUGACGGUACUCUAAGAAUAAGCACCGGCUAACUACGUGCCAGCAGCCGCGGUAAUACGUAGGGUGCGAGCGUUAAUCGGAAUUACUGGGCGUAAAGCGCUCGUAGGCGGUAUGUCAAGUCAAGGGUGAAAUCCCCGCGCUCAACGUGGGAACUGCCUUUGAAACUGGCAAACUGGAGUGUGUGAGAGGAUAGUGGAAUUCCAGGUGUAGGAGUGAAAUCCGUAGAUAUCUGGAGGAACAUCAGUGGCGAAGGCGACUAUCUGGCACAUAACUGACGCUGAGGAGCGAAAGCGUGGGUAGCAAACAGGAUUAGAUACCCGCGUA
This 470-nucleotide ribosomal RNA is filed under the name uncultured bacterium. RNAcentral's name for it is "bacterial SSU rRNA". It matches the Rfam family "Bacterial small subunit ribosomal RNA", at positions 330 to 792 of the family's 1533-position model. The record is from RNAcentral.